This 73-nucleotide transfer RNA is filed under the name Camelus bactrianus (Bactrian camel). It matches the Rfam family "tRNA". Rfam says of the family: Transfer RNA (tRNA) molecules are approximately 80 nucleotides in length. Lineage: Eukaryota; Metazoa; Chordata; Mammalia; Artiodactyla; Camelidae. RNAcentral also lists the same sequence under 2 other names. The record is from Rfam by way of RNAcentral.
GAGAGUAUCACUUAAGUGGUAGGGCACAUGCUUAGCAUGCAUGAGGUCCUGGGUUCAAUCCCCAGUACCUUCA